GAUGAAGAACGUAGCGAAAUGCGAUAAGUAAUGUGAAUUGCAGAAUUCAGUGAAUCAUCGAAUCUUUGAACGCACCUUGCACCCUUUGGCAUUCCGAAGGGUAUGCUCGUUUGAGUGUCAUUGUACUCUCACUCUCCCGAUGCUUUUGGAUCGGGAGUGGUGGACUUGGGUGUUGCUGCUUUGCUGUGGCUCGCCUCAAAUGGAGUAGUGCAACUCUUGGUUGGACAUAGUACGGCGUGAUAAGUGUCUUCGCCGGCGCCUCAUUAUAGAGGGUGGCCGAUCGGGAGCUCUGUGCUUCAAACCGUCUUCGGACAACAUCUGACAACUUGACCUCAAAUCGAGUAGGACUACCCGCUGAACUUAAGCAUAUCAGUAAGCGGAGGA
RNAcentral lists this unclassified non-coding RNA (384 nucleotides) under soil metagenome. RNAcentral's name for it is "partial contains 5.8S ribosomal RNA, internal transcribed spacer 2, and large subunit ribosomal RNA". The stretch from base 1 to 120 matches the Rfam family "5.8S ribosomal RNA", at positions 35 to 154 of the family's 154-position model. The record is from RNAcentral.